AGGUGAGGGCAAAUCCCCAGUGAGCUCUGGAAUGUUCAGUUGGAUGGGACAUUAGUGGAGGAAAAGAGAAGGAUCCCUCGAUCGCCACUCUUUCCCCCCUUUUUUGCUGGAGGAAUGGACUGCCUUCAAGUCGAUUCUGACUUAUGGCAACCCUAUGAAUAGGGUUUUCAUGGUAAGCGGUAUUCAGAGGGGGUUUACCAUUGCCUCCCUCUGAGGCUGAGAGGCAGUGACUGGCCCACGGUCACCCAGUGAGCUUCAUGACUGUGGGGAUUUGAACCCUGGUCUCCCAGGUCGUAGUCCAGCACUCUAACCACUACGCCACACUGGCUCUCUUUUGCUGGAAGGAAGCUGCCUUACAAUGAGUCACACCCUUGCUCUAUUUAGCUCAGUAUUGCCAACACUGACUGGCAACAGCCCUCUAGGAUUUGGGGCCAGAAGCCUUUCCCACCCCUACCUGGAGGUGACAGGGAUUGAAUCCGGGACCUUCUGCAUGCAAAGCAUGUGCUCUACCACUUGAGCUAUGACCCCUUCCCUAGGAAUGAGAAUGAGUAGAAAAAGAAACCUAGGAAACUCCCAUAUACCAGGCCAGGAUUUUUAUCUAGCUGGCCCAGUGUUGUCUACUGGAGGGAUGGGGGAAUUUGUUGCCCUACAUGAAGUUGUUGGGCUCCAACUCCCUUCAUCCCUGCCUAUUGGCCAUGCUAGCUGGGGCUGCUGGGAGUGGGAAUCCAGCAACACCUGGAAGGCCACAGAUUCCCUGUUCCUUGUCUGCUCUGAUUGGCCAUGGCUCUCCAGGAUAUCAAGCAGGGGAUGUUACCAUCACCUGCUUAAAUAAAGAAGGCAGGGAUUGAACCUGGGACCUGGGAGUAACUAACCUGCUCAGGGGCCUUGUCAAAUUACAUAGAGAUGUGUUGUUGUUAUAUGUCUUCAAGUCGAUUACUUAUGGCAACCCUAUGAAUCAGUGACCUCCAAGAGCAUCUGUCAUGAACCACCCUGUUCAGAUCUUCUAAGUUCAGGUCUGUGGCUUCCUUUAUGGAAUCACUCCAUCUCUUGUUUGGUCUUCCUCUUUUUCUACUCCCUUCUGUUUUUCCCAGCAUUAUGGUCUUUUCUAGUGAAUCAGGUCUUCUCAUGAUGUGUCCAAAGUAUGAUAACCUCAGUUUCAUCAUUUUAGCUUCUAAUGAUAGUUCUGGUUUAAUUUGUUCUAACCCUCAAUUAUUUGUCUUUUUCGCAGUCCAUGGUAUGCGCAAAGCUCUCCUCCAACACCACAUUUCAAAGGAGUUGAUUUUUCUCUUACCCACUUCUUUCACUGUCCAACUUUCACAUCCAUACAUAGAGAUUGGGAACACCAUGGUCUGAAUGAUCCUGACUUUGGUGUUCAGUGAUACAUCUCUGCAUUUGAGGACCUUUUCUUUCACAUAUAGGUACUUGGGGCAAAGAGGAAUGUGAUGUUCCUAUAUUAAUGUAUAUAUGGUAAGUGUUGGUUGUUUAGAAGAUACAUGGUAAGUGGAGUGAAAGAGGGGGAGUGAAUGGGCAGUAGAAUGCGAGAUGAUUGGCUGAGUGUUUAAAAUGGCUGAAUGUAUAAAAGGAAGAGUGAGAGUGGAAUCUGGGGGGGAGAGAAACCAUAAGAGAGAGCGGUCCGGACUGGUGGAGUCCCUGGUGGUGCCUAGAGACAGGCAGUAACCAUGAGCAGGUAGGAACCUGACAGGGAGAGCCAGGGAAGGACGCAUCACAUGUGGUGGCAGUAGCGGUGGGAUACGAACAACAGAGAAUCCAGAUACGAACCAAAGAGAGUCCCAAAGACACGUGGUGACAAAGGAGACUACGUCACAGGUGUUGGCUGUAGCAGUGAGAUACGAAUACUAGACAAUCCCUAAUAGUUGUGUGGCAAACAGAAAUAACAAAACAAGAUUACUUGUGAGAGUGACUGGCAAAGAGUGUGUGGCAAAGAGUGAGUGAACUCAAACACCAUGGCUGAAUACAUAAAAAUGAAAAGAGAGGAGCUGGUGGAGAAGUGCAUAACAUUCAAUUUACCUCACGAGGGUAAAGGGGUAGAUGAAUUGAGGGUAGCACUUAUAGGAUUUGCAACUGCCCAGCAAAAACAACCUGUCAGGGAAGAGACCCCAGAAGGAUAUUUAAGCAAUCCCGCUUAUAUAGAGUACUUGAGAGAGAAGUUAAGAUGGGAGGCUGAGGAAAAAGACAAGCAGAGGGAGUUGGAAGCUGAGAGAUUGAGGGUGGAAACUGAGAGAAUGAGGAUGGAGGCUGAGGAAAAAGACAAACAGCGGGUCUUUGAGGCUGAGGAAAAAGACAAACAGAGGGAGUUGGAAACUGAGAAGUUGAGAAUGGGGUUUGAGGAGAGGGAGAAGCAACGAGCAGUGGAUGCCGAAUUACAAGUAGAAAAGUUAAAAUUUGAAAGAGAGAAGUUUCAUUCUGAUGAAACAAGAAAGGACAGAGAUGGAGCAAAAAUAAAAAUUACUCCAAAGGACUUUGCUGUCUGUGAGCCUGGUCAAGAUCCUCAAAUUUACCUCAGCACCUUUGAAAAAGCAGCUCAGUUGUGGGAGCUACCUGAAGAUAAAUACAUGCAGUAUUUAUCAAACCUGAUUAAAGGGGAAUUGGCUGAGGUAUACCAAUAUUUCCCCUCAGAUAGGCCCGUCACCUAUGCUGAAUUCAAAGAAGCAGUGUUUAAAAGAUUCAGACUGGGGCCUGAUUAUUUUAGAAAGCUUUUCAGAAACUGCCAGAUACAGACAGGGAGGUCUUUCGUGGAGCUGGGGGCAAAACUGAUGGACAUAUUUGGGAAAUGGCUGACAAGUGCAAAAGCUCAGUCUGUGGAGGAGGUGAAAAACCUCAUGAUAUUGGAUCAAUUAUACCAUCAGUUACCACCAGAAAUAAGGCUCCUGGUCAAAGACCGUUCCCCUGCAUCGGUGCAGGAGGCCGCAGAGAUGGCGGAUCACUUCGCCUCCAACAGAACUGGCUGGGUGGGGAAAACAUCAAGAGAUUUUAAACCCAGACCAUAUAAUGCUGGCAGAAGGGAUGUGGUACCACAGUGAGUGAGUCCUCCAGUAAAAUCUGAAGGGCACAGGACACCCCAGAGUGGAUCUAUGUACCCUAAAAGUGAGGAGAAAUUAUGCUACAAAUGUGGUAGACUGGGGCACCUACGUUUUCAAUGUGAGGUUGCCAACCCCAUUAGUAAUCCUGCUCAGACAAGGACAGUGAAAACAGAGCCCAAGGCUUUAGAAACAGCGAAAAAGGUUCAGUUCUGCCAGAUAAACUGGACAGAAGUAACAGACCUUGAUUCAAGUCUGAGAGAGGAAGUGAGUGUACAAGGGGCAAAUUAUUGGGCAUUGCUUGAUACUGGUGCCGCUCAGACAUUACUGAGGCCAGAUUUAAUAAAAUCUGAGGUAAUAUUACCUCAGGAAACUGUGACUAUCCAAGGAGUGAGGGGUCAACCAGAAAGUUUGCCUGUGGCCCUGGUGGAUAUGACUUGGAGAGGCCGAGAGGGCCGAUAUAAAGUAGGCAUUAAUGCCCAGCAACAAGAACCAGUAAUACUGGGAAGAGAUGUAAUGGGCGCCCAAGGAAAGAUCUAUGUAGUGACCAGACAGCAAAUUGGCAGAGAAAAAGAAGCCAUAUUAAGGGGGGCUGAAACAAACAGGGUGGAAUCUGUUAACCAGCCUCAGGUCACCAUAGCAACCACUAGCAGGUCUGCUGAAGGAGACAAACUGUAUCAAGUGGUCUCUGGGGAAGAAGCAGAUCAAUUCAGGGAAGAGCUGCAUAAAGAUAUAAGUUUGAAGCAGGUAAAGGAACAAGCUCUGACCCAACAGAUUCCUUUCACUGACAAACUGAGGAAUCAAGUUGUGUGUGAAAAUGGGAUUUUAUAUAGACUGUGGAUGCCUGCUGAGAGAAAGGGUGAAUGUGAACCAGUGAAACAAAUGAUGGAAGUGGUGAAAGAGAAUUUGAGUCAAGCUCAGCAGAAGCAACGUUACUGGUAUGACAGAACAGCCAGGGAACGUGUGUAUAAUGUGGGAGAUAUGGUUAUGGCGUUCAUACCCAGGAAACAUGACAAAUUACAGGCUAACCGGGAAGGACCAUAUACCAUCAGAGAAAGGCUUGACACAGUGACGUAUGUAAUCACCACAGACCAAUUAAACAAAAGCAAAGUGCUUCAUGUAAAUAUGUUAAAGCCUUACCAUACCAGGGAUGCACAGGUGUUGGAAGUUACCUUAUUCCCUGAGGGAAGUGGGCCUGAACUUCCAGAUUUGGUACAGGAAAGCAAAGACAGAGGAGGGGUAGAUCAAGUGGAAUGGUCAGAGGAGGUGAAGGAGGAAGUAAAAGAGGAGAUUCUGAGAGUUUUGAAAACCUAUAGGAAUCUCUUUAGCAACAAACCUGGCCGAACCAGUAUAGUUAUACAUUCCAUUGAUACUGGAGAUCAUGCCCCAAUCAGAUCUGUUCCGUACCGUGUGAAUGGGAAAGUUUUGAAUGAGAUCAAAAAGGAGGUGGAAGAUAUGCUGGAAUUAGGAGUGAUCAGGGAAUCCAUCAGUCCCUGGGCCUCAAGUAUUGUCCUGGUUCCGAAAAAAGAUGGAACGACAAGGUUUUGCAUUGAUUAUCGGCUAAUCAAUAAAAUUACUGUCCCAGAUGCAUAUCCUAUGCCUAGGGUAGACGCAAUGUUAGAGUUAUUGGGGGCAGCAACCAUUAUCUCUACGUUAGACCUCUGUAAAGGAUUUUGGCAAAUGGAAUUAGACGAGCAAUCCAGAGCCAAAACUGCCUUCAGUACACCAGAUGGGUUAUAUGAGUUUGUGACCUUACCCAUGGGACUAAGGAACUCACCAAGUUCAUUUCAGAGGCUAGUCAAUACUGUGUUGCGAGGCAUGUCAGAUUUUGCAGUGGCCUAUAUCGAUGACGUGGCCAUUUUUAGCAAGUCGGUGCCUGAGCAUGUCCAACACCUGACAACAGUACUGGAGGCCUUAAGAAAAGCAGGCCUCACAAUAAAAACUAAGAAAUGCCAGUUUGGACUAAAGGAAGUAAUCUAUUUAGGACAUAAGGUGUGGAGUGGGAAAAUCACCCCCUUAUGGAGCAAGGUGGAGGCAAUACAAGCGUGGCCGAUCCCCUUAACCAAAAAACAAGUAAGGGCAUUUCUGGGUGUGGCUGGAUUUUAUAGGAAGUUUGUGAGAAAUUUUGGGGAAAUAGCAACCCCCUUGCAUGAAUUAACAAAGAAGAAGUGUUCUGAGCGUGUGGUAUGGACGGAUGAAUGUCAGAAGGCUUUUGAUCUACUGAAGCAAGCCUUGUGCCAAGGACCCAUAUUAAUAGCACCAGACUAUGAGAAACCAUUCAUCGUGGCUACAGAUGCAUCGGACCUCGCACUGGGAGUUGUCUUGCACAGGAGAGAGAAGGCACCAGACAUCCAGUGGCGUACCUGAGUCGCAAGCUGACGCCGAGGGAGAAAAACUAUUCGUCGGUCCAGAAGGAGUGCCUAGCGGUCGUGUGGGGACUGAACAAGUUGUGCCCAUAUGUGUGGGGACGAAGAUUCACGGUAACUAUGGAUCAUCGGGCCUUGUUAUGGUUGCAGACUAUGAAAAACCAUAACACUAUGCUGCAGAGGUGGUCCUGGGCCCUACAGGACUAUCAAGUGGACUUCCAGUUCAUAAAAGGCAAGGACAGUGUACUGGCUGAUGGACUUUCCAGGCAAGUGGCUGGGACUGCAGUGACGUGACCAGACAGAGGAACAAAGAAAGACAUUUUCCCCAUAGAGACUUUUAUUUGUUAACUUGACGUAUAAAUCCUGGAACAGGAAUUAUACUCUGCUGUUGUUUAAGGGGGGGGGAAAUGUGAUGUUCCUAUAUUAAUGUAUAUAUGGUAAGUGUUGGUUGUUUAGAAGAUACAUGGUAAAUGGAGUGAAAGAGGGGGAGUGAAUGGGCAGUAGAAUGCGAGAUGAUUGGCUGAGUGUUUAAAAUGGCUGAAUGUAUAAAAGGAAGAGUGAGAGUGGAAUCUGGGGGGGAGAGAAACCAUAAGAGAGAGCAGUCCGGACUGGUGGAGUCCCUGGUGGUGCCUAGAGACAGGCAGUAACCACGAGCAGCAUUCCCUUUGCUCUCGGAUCUUCAUGAAGAAACGGUUUGGUAGCCAAGAGGGGAGCCAUCUUCCUUGAAACGCAA
Rhineura floridana is the source of this 6137-nucleotide RNA transcript. It is a transcript of the gene named ankyrin repeat domain 9, with no coding region annotated. The record is from RefSeq and is a predicted model, not a curated record. Lineage: Eukaryota; Metazoa; Chordata; Lepidosauria; Squamata; Rhineuridae. The transcript is spliced from 2 exons.